UACGUGAAACAUGCAAUCCGGACGCCUU
RNAcentral lists this small RNA (28 nucleotides) under Bombyx mori (domestic silkworm). RNAcentral describes it as "ovarian small RNA-2983". The record is from RNAcentral. Lineage: Eukaryota; Metazoa; Arthropoda; Insecta; Lepidoptera; Bombycidae.